GAUGAACGCUAGCUACAGGCCUAACACAUGCAAGUCGAGGGGCAGCGGGAAGGAAGCUUGCUUUCUUCGCCGGCGACCGGCGCACGGGUGCGUAACGCGUAUCGAACCUACCCUUUACUCGGGAACAGCCUUGCGAAAGCAAGAUUAAUGCCCGAUGUUCCGCGUUUGCCGCAUGGCAAAUUCGGCAAAGAUUUAUUGGUAAAGGAUGGCGAUGCGUCCCAUUAGUUAGUUGGCGGGGUAACGGCCCACCAAGACGACGAUGGGUAGGGGUUCUGAGAGGAAGGUCCCCCACAUUGGAACUGAGACACGGUCCAAACUCCUACGGGAGGCAGCAGUGAGGAAUAUUGGUCAAUGGGCGGAAGCCUGAACCAGCCAAGUAGCGUGCAGGAGACAGCCCUAUGGGGUUGUAAAACUGGCUUUUCAGUCGGGAAUAAUUCGUCGGUCGUGACCGACGUUGCAGGUACCGUCAUAAGAAGGACCGGCUAAUUCCGUG
Molecule: ribosomal RNA, 493 nt
Filed under: uncultured bacterium
Lineage: Bacteria
Description: bacterial SSU rRNA
Rfam family: Bacterial small subunit ribosomal RNA
Source: RNAcentral